UACGUAGGGUGCAAGCGUUGUCCGGAAUUAUUGGGCGUAAAGAGCUCGUAGGCGGUUUGUCGCGUCUGCUGUGAAAACUCGGGGCUUAACCCCGGGCCUGCAGUGGGUACGGGCAGACUAGAGUGCGGUAGGGGAGACUGGAAUUCCUGGUGUAGCGGUGAAAUGCGCAGAUAUCAGGAGGAACACCGGUGGCGAAGGCGGGUCUCUGGGCCGUAACUGACGCUGAGGAACGAAAGCGUGGGGAGCGAACAGG
RNAcentral lists this ribosomal RNA (253 nucleotides) under uncultured bacterium. RNAcentral's name for it is "partial 16S ribosomal RNA". It matches the Rfam family "Bacterial small subunit ribosomal RNA", at positions 524 to 776 of the family's 1533-position model. The record is from RNAcentral.